Molecule: transfer RNA, 72 nt
Organism: Microcoleus sp.
Lineage: Bacteria; Bacillati; Cyanobacteriota; Cyanophyceae; Oscillatoriales; Microcoleaceae
Rfam family: tRNA
About the family: Transfer RNA (tRNA) molecules are approximately 80 nucleotides in length. Their secondary structure includes four short double-helical elements and three loops (D, anti-codon, and T loops). Further hydrogen bonds mediate the characteristic L-shaped molecular structure. tRNAs have two regions of fundamental functional importance: the anti-codon, which is responsible for specific mRNA codon recognition, and the 3' end, to which the tRNAs corresponding amino acid is attached (by aminoacyl-tRNA synthetases). tRNAs cope with the degeneracy of the genetic code in two manners: having more than one tRNA (with a specific anti-codon) for a particular amino acid; and 'wobble' base-pairing, i.e. permitting non-standard base-pairing at the 3rd anti-codon position.
Source: Rfam
GGGAGUAUAGCUCAGAGGUAGAGCAGUCCUCUCAUAAGGGACUAGUCGCAGGUUCAAGUCCUGUUACUCCUA